This 435-nucleotide ribosomal RNA is filed under the name uncultured bacterium. RNAcentral's name for it is "partial 16S ribosomal RNA". It matches the Rfam family "Bacterial small subunit ribosomal RNA", at positions 29 to 507 of the family's 1533-position model. The record is from RNAcentral.
AGCGAACGCUGGCGGCAGGCUUAACACAUGCAAGUCGAGCGGGCAUCUUCGGAUGUCAGCGGCAGACGGGUGAGUAACACGUGGGAACGUACCCUUCGGUUCGGAACAACUCUGGGAAACUGGAGCUAAUACCGGAUACGCCCUUAUGGGGAAAGGUUUACUGCCGAAGGAUCGGCCCGCGUCUGAUCAGCUAGUUGGUGGGGUAACGGCCUACCAAGGCGACGAUCAGUAGCUGGUCUGAGAGGAUGAUCAGCCACACUGGGACUGAGACACGGCCCAGACUCCUACGGGAGGCAGCAGUGGGGAAUAUUGGACAAUGGGCGCAAGCCUGAUCCAGCCAUGCCGCGUGAGUGAUGAAGGCCUUAGGGUUGUAAAGCUCUUUUGUCCGGGACAAUAAUGACGGUACCGGAAGAAUAAGCCCCGGCUAACUUCGUG